RNAcentral lists this ribosomal RNA (403 nucleotides) under Verrucomicrobiota bacterium. RNAcentral describes it as "Verrucomicrobia bacterium partial 16S ribosomal RNA". It matches the Rfam family "Bacterial small subunit ribosomal RNA", at positions 355 to 776 of the family's 1533-position model. The record is from RNAcentral. Lineage: Bacteria; Pseudomonadati; Verrucomicrobiota.
UGGGGUAUAUUGCACAAUGGGCGCAAGCCUGAUGCAGCAACGCCGCGUGAACGAUGACGGUCUUCGGAUCGUAACGUUCUGUUGCAGGGGAAGAUAAUGACGGUACCCUGUGAGGAAGCCCUGGCUAACUACGUGCCAGCAGCCGCGGUAAUACGUAGGGGGCUAGCGUUAUCCGGAUUUACUGGGCGUAAAGGGUGCGUAGGUGGUCUUUCAAGUCGGUGGUUAAAGGCUACGGCUCAACCGUAGUUAGCCUCCGAAACUGGAAGACUUGAGUGCAGGAGAGGAAAGUGGAAUUACCAGUGUAGCGGUGAAAUGCGUAGAUAUUGGGAGGAACACCAGUAGCGAAGGCGGCUUUCUGGACUGCAACUGACACUGAGGCACGAAAGCGUGGGUAGCAAACAGA